Molecule: non-coding RNA, 122 nt
Organism: Podarcis lilfordi (Lilford's wall lizard)
Lineage: Eukaryota; Metazoa; Chordata; Lepidosauria; Squamata; Lacertidae
Source: the annotation of a GenBank genome assembly
CACAGUGCUUGGCCUCCCUAAGCCACCCCCUAACAACACUCCAAAUUCAGACUUUAAAAUAUUAUAAAGUCUGCAUUGGGGGUGUUGUCAGCGGGUGGCUCAGGGAGGCUGAGCACUGGGUC